Long non-coding RNA from Numida meleagris (helmeted guineafowl), 1823 nucleotides. RefSeq lists it as uncharacterized. NCBI's taxonomy places the organism in Eukaryota, Metazoa, Chordata, Aves, Galliformes, Numididae. The record is from RefSeq and is a predicted model, not a curated record. The transcript is spliced from 4 exons.
AAUAAAAAGCAGAAAUGUGAAAUAAAAUCAAAGCAAACCAAUCCAUCUGGAACAAAAUGCUGCGACCAUUUGGUUCUUGGGCAGCGCUUCAGGCUGCAGCUAGUAAUCCCAGACUCACUGUCCCACAGAGAGCGUGACAUGAGUGGGUAUUGCAUGGGUUGAGCUGCCCUUUCAUAUCUUAAAUCCUGGCCAGCUUAACCUUCUAAACUGCCUCUGUGGUAGUAUCACAGCUUAAAAUACAUCUUUCCUGGUUCCUUAUGUGUGUUAGUCUGAGAGUUACUCUGGAGGGUCAUGGAAGGCAGGAAGUUAGGUACUGCUAUUUUUUUCCAUGUGUAUGUAAAGCUUUAUAGACUAAACUAGCAGGGUCAACAAUAGGCGAAAUUAAAACAGUUCUAAAAAUGAACUAGACAAGAGGAAACAAUUACAGGGCUGUUAUUUGGAGGAAACAAGCACUGGGUGGUUCGGUUGCUAACACAAUGAAGGAGACAGCCCACGAUGGUGCUUCUAAACCCUUCCUGGUCUGGUAUUCCCAAACUACCCAGCGUUGUUUACUUGCCUGGAACAACGCCACAGACACAUCCUGAUAGGUCAGGAAUGAUCCUCAGGGGUUUCUAUGAGAAAUAGGAAAUGGGCAGAGAGGGCAGCAGUAAGUGACGUCUGCUCGUUUGAGGAGCUGUGCAGUGAGGACUGUUGUGUCCCUCAAUUGUCUGUGGCAAUGCCUUUGGUCAAAAAAUAACUCCAGGAGGUGUCAUGGGCUGGAGAAAGCAUCGUGAGAUAGUGUUCACAAUUGCUUGGGUCUACCUUGAAGAUGUCAGUGCAUUUGGUGGUCCCUGCUGUCAUACCUCCACCGCCAAAUCAUUAGCAUGACAAUAAUUAAUGAAAAAUUAACCACAACCUUAAGCCAACUGCACUGACCAGGAACUCAGAGGAUCUGCUCUGGCUUUUGUGCUGACACAGCCCCACAGCGUACCCUUGGAUGUCUCAGCUUCCUGUCUAUGACUAGCAUUGCUUCCUCUCUCCUUAUGCUUUGAAUGCUGCAUUUCAACUGCAAAUGUUUUGCAGCAGGGACUGUCUCACACUGGUAGCUGUGCUGCACAGUGACUGGAAAUGCCAGAUUUCAGGCUACUGUGACAGUAAUGAAGAAUAGCUCCUACGUCCCUCUACCUCACUGCUAGUUAAUGCAUCUGUCUAUCAAACUAUGCAUCAGUGCAAUAAUUGCUGUUUGAUAUUUAGUUACAGGCAUUAGCCAGGCUUUCUCAUGUCUAAUUAAAGCUCAGUGAUUUUUUUUAAGUGUUCUUCCUUUGCUGAAGAAACAGAAAUGUCAGAAAUGGAAAGCACCAAGAGCUCAAUGGAUAUAUUAUGCCAAUACCCAUUGAUCAAGCAAAACAGAGAAAAGGAGACUUUCUCUGUGGUGUCAUUUUGUCUGCCUUCUGCAAAUUUUCUGCAAACAUUUUAAUUGCAGCCAUGAGAGACUGAAAAAUCCUGCCUGAUAAGCAUGUAUUUGUGCUUUAAAAAUACAGCUGAAAACAUUCUGCUAGCAAGCCUACACAAAAGCUCGUUAAAUUAAACGCCAGGAAUUAUCUCUGAAGGUUCUACAAGUGUCUCUUAUGGACACAGAAAUGCAGUUAUGGUGCCAUGUUCAGGCUGGCUGUCCCACUAUUACUGACUCUACAGGCAGCUGAAAUCCCUCUACUGAAGUGAAAGGAAUCAAGAUCCUACCAAUACUGAAAGGAAUCAGAAGUUUUUAAAAGACGGUAAAGGAUUGUUUCCACCCAGCUCAUGUUCAGUACGAGGAACCUACAUUUAUUUCCUGCGGGCAAGUA